CCUACGGGUGGCAGCAGUGGGGGAUAUUGCACAAUGGGGGAAACCCUGAUGCAGCGACGCCGCGUGAGUGAAGAAGUAUUUCGGUAUGUAAAGCUCUAUCAGCAGGGAAGAAAAUGACAGUACCUGACGAAGAAGCCCCGGCUAACUACGUGCCAGCAGCCUCGGUAAUACGUAGGGGGCAAGCGUUAUCCGGAUUUACUGGGUGUAAAGGGAGCGUAGACGGUUAUGUAAGUCUGGUGUGAAAGCCCGGGGCCGAACCCCGGGACUGCAUUGGAAACUGUGUAACUGGAGUACAGGAGGGGGAGGCGGAAUUCCUGGUGUAGCGGUGAAAUGCGUAGAUAUCAGGAGGAACAUCGGAGGCGAAGGCGCUUUACUGGGCAUUAAUUGACGCUGAGGAGCGAAAGCCGGGGUAGCAAAUGGGAUUAGAUACCCGGGUAGUC
This 440-nucleotide ribosomal RNA is filed under the name uncultured bacterium. Its description in RNAcentral is "partial 16S ribosomal RNA". It matches the Rfam family "Bacterial small subunit ribosomal RNA", at positions 338 to 795 of the family's 1533-position model. The record is from RNAcentral.